UGUUAAAAAUUCUAUCCAUUUGUAUUGCUAAAAACUAACAUGGAUGAUGAGAUACCCGAACAGUUAUAUAUUUUAUGUUGAUGUAAAUGGAUUGAUUUUUAACAACAAAAAUUGAUGGAUUUUUAAACA
Gossypium hirsutum (cotton) is the source of this 129-nucleotide non-coding RNA. The record is from Rfam. NCBI's taxonomy places the organism in Eukaryota, Viridiplantae, Streptophyta, Magnoliopsida, Malvales, Malvaceae.